Molecule: transfer RNA, 66 nt
Filed under: Operophtera brumata (winter moth)
Lineage: Eukaryota; Metazoa; Arthropoda; Insecta; Lepidoptera; Geometridae
Rfam family: tRNA
About the family: Transfer RNA (tRNA) molecules are approximately 80 nucleotides in length. Their secondary structure includes four short double-helical elements and three loops (D, anti-codon, and T loops). Further hydrogen bonds mediate the characteristic L-shaped molecular structure. tRNAs have two regions of fundamental functional importance: the anti-codon, which is responsible for specific mRNA codon recognition, and the 3' end, to which the tRNAs corresponding amino acid is attached (by aminoacyl-tRNA synthetases). tRNAs cope with the degeneracy of the genetic code in two manners: having more than one tRNA (with a specific anti-codon) for a particular amino acid; and 'wobble' base-pairing, i.e. permitting non-standard base-pairing at the 3rd anti-codon position.
Source: Rfam by way of RNAcentral
CGUUUUAUGGCCAAAUUGGUAAAAAAAUCACAGGCGAGGAUGCGGGUUCGAGUCCCGCUGGAACGG